UAUCAGCCUUUUGGGCAUGAUUCUGUGGAGCGUGAGGAGUUAAACGCCUUCAUGUCUACAUAUUCGUGUACUUUGGGUGUACUUGCCUGUGUGGUUAGUUAACAUCAAUUUUGGUUAUCAUAAAAUGGCUGGAGGAAUGUAGCUUCGAUUUCGAUUGAAGUGUUAUAGCCUUCGGCAGAUGUGAUGAUCGGGAUUGAGGAUUGCAACGGAUACCCUUCGGGGCUACCUGUCUGGUCUCUGAUCGUUGCUCUGGUGCCGAAAGCGUGCUUACGGUUAUCAAAGUCGAUGGUCAAUAGGUUAGAACGGGUUAAAUUCGUUAAGGAUGUUGACGUA
Molecule: ribosomal RNA, 333 nt
Filed under: uncultured Glomeromycotina
Lineage: Eukaryota; Fungi; Glomeromycota
Description: eukaryotic LSU rRNA
Source: RNAcentral